ACGACGCCAGCAGUUGCAGCCAUAGUGCCUCCUCGUACGACCCUCGUCCGUCCGUUCGUCAUUCAUGCACUUAUGCCCAUUGUCAGUUAGUCAGGCCGUCGCCAGUCGACAGGCAUUGUCACAACUCUUGCCACGCAGCCCAUUUUCCUCAUUUUCCCCAACACCAACCAGCCUCCUUUGCACCCAAUCCCCAUCCCAUACCAUACCAUUCCUCAUCCCAUCCUUUCCAUAUCCCGGCCCCUUUGUGCGUUGUCGCUUCAACGCCCACGCCUUCGUGCCAAGCCAUCCAAUCCCGUCCCGUCCCCAUACCAUCCAUAUUCCCUACCAAUGACUUUGCCAGCUUUGGCGGAGCGCAAACAUUUUUUAAUUACGCAAAUGUUGGGCUGCCCAGCUCGUUUU
This is a non-coding RNA of Drosophila melanogaster (fruit fly), 399 nucleotides long. The record is from Ensembl. NCBI's taxonomy places the organism in Eukaryota, Metazoa, Arthropoda, Insecta, Diptera, Drosophilidae.